CAUUGAGCCUUGAUGUGUAGGAUAGGUGGGAGGCUUUGAAGCGUGGACGCCAGUCUGCGUGGAGCCGACCUUGAAAUACCACCCUUUAAUGUUUGAUGUUCUAACGUGGACCCGUGAUCCGGGUUGCGGACAGUGUCUGGUGGGUAGUUUGACUGGGGCGGUCUCCUCCUAAAGAGUAACGGAGGAGCACGAAGGUUGGCUAAUCCUGGUCGGACAUCAGGAGGUUAGUGCAAUGGCAUAAGCCAGCUUGACUGCGAGCGUGACGGCGCGAGCAGGUGCGAAAGCAGGUCAUAGUGAUCCGGUGGUUCUGAAUGGAAGGGCCAUCGCUCAACGGAUAAAAGGUACUCCGGGGAUAACAGGCUGAUACCGCCCAAGAGUUCAUAUCGACGGCGGUGUUUGGCACCUCGAUGUCGGCUCAUCACAUCCUGGGGCUGAAGUAGGUCCCAAGGGUAUGGCUGUUCGCCAUUUAAAGUGGUACGCGAGCUGGGUUUAGAACGUCGUGAGACAGUUCGGUCCCUAUCUGCCGUGGGCGCUGGAGAACUGAGGGGGGCUGCUCCUAGUACGAGAGGACCGGAGUGGACGCAUCACUGGUGUUCGGGUUGUCAUGCCAAUGGCACUGCCCGGUAGCUAAAUGCGGAAGAGAUAAGUGCUGAAAGCAUCUAAGCACGAAACUUGCCCCGA
Molecule: ribosomal RNA, 681 nt
Filed under: Salmonella enterica
Lineage: Bacteria; Pseudomonadati; Pseudomonadota; Gammaproteobacteria; Enterobacterales; Enterobacteriaceae
Description: partial 23S ribosomal RNA
Rfam family: Bacterial large subunit ribosomal RNA
Source: RNAcentral